UGUUAGCCUUAAACACUGUAAAAUUGAACAUUUGGUCAGGUUCGGAAGAAAGCAGCCAUAUCAAUUAAUUCAGGUGUUCUAAUUCAGCUAACAGAA
Molecule: signal recognition particle RNA, 96 nt
Filed under: Buchnera aphidicola (Artemisaphis artemisicola)
Lineage: Bacteria; Pseudomonadati; Pseudomonadota; Gammaproteobacteria; Enterobacterales; Erwiniaceae
Description: signal recognition particle sRNA small type
Rfam family: Bacterial small signal recognition particle RNA
About the family: The signal recognition particle (SRP) is a universally conserved ribonucleoprotein involved in the co-translational targeting of proteins to membranes. Archaeal SRP consists of a 7S RNA and homologues of the eukaryotic SRP19 and SRP54 proteins.
Source: RNAcentral